CUACGGGCGGCUCCAGUGGGGAAUUUUGGACAAUGGGCGAAAGCCUGAUCCAGCAAUACCGCGUGCAGGAAGAAGGCCUUCGGGUUGUAAACUGCUUUUGUACGGAACGAAACGGCGUGCUCUAAUAAAGUGCGCUAAUGACGGUACCGUAAGAAUAAGCACCGGCAAACUACGUGCCAGCAGCCGCGGUAAUACGUAGGGUGCAAGCGUUAAUCGGAAUUACUGGGCGUAAAGCGUGCGCAGGCGGUUUUGUAAGACAGGCGUGAAAUCCCCGGGCUCAACCUGGGAAUUGCGCUUGUGACUGCAAGGCUAGAGUACGGUAGAGGGGGGUAGAAUUCCGCGUGUAGCAGUGAAAUGCGUAGAUAUGCGGAGGAACACCGAUGGCGAAGGCAGCCCCCUGGACCUGUACUGACGCUCAUGCACGAAAGCGUGGGGAGCAAACAGGAUUAGAUACCCCGGUAGUC
Molecule: ribosomal RNA, 464 nt
Filed under: uncultured bacterium
Lineage: Bacteria
Description: partial 16S ribosomal RNA
Rfam family: Bacterial small subunit ribosomal RNA
Source: RNAcentral